This 85-nucleotide transfer RNA is filed under the name Acidimicrobiia bacterium. RNAcentral describes it as "tRNA-Met". Lineage: Bacteria; Bacillati; Actinomycetota; Acidimicrobiia. The record is from RNAcentral.
GGCGGUGUUUCCCCUGGUCAGAGAACUGGGCUGCAUCGAUCUCAUAACCCGAAGGUCGUUGGUUCAAAUCCAGCCCCCGCCGCCA